AACGCAAAUUGCACUUCUUGGUAUUCCGAGGAGUAUACUUGCUUGAGGGUUGGUCUACAAAAAAUCGUAAAUUUUUUUUUUACGGAUCUGGGUUUUCCGAGUUUUCUCGACUUCGGUUGCCUAAAAUUUAUCUUAACGAUGAGGUGUUAAUUAGAAAUGUUUUAUCUUACAUAUUGUAGGUUCAUUAAUAAUUAUACCAAUUGUUAUGUCGCGUUAUUCAUCUAGUAUUUUUGAUUAGGUGAAAUAAUUCAAUUUUUUAAUCCUACCUCAAGUCAAGUAAGGAUACCCGCUGAACUUAA
RNAcentral lists this unclassified non-coding RNA (299 nucleotides) under uncultured fungus. RNAcentral's name for it is "sequence contains ITS2". Lineage: Eukaryota; Fungi. The record is from RNAcentral.